GCCAGCAGCCAUAUCACCUUGCAGCUCACAGCUAAAAACCCACUGAAGCUCAGCUGGUGUGAGCCUGGUCAGUACCUGGAUGGGAGACCUCCUGUGAAAAACUAAGGUUGCUGCUGGAA
Molecule: ribosomal RNA, 119 nt
Filed under: Lepisosteus oculatus (spotted gar)
Lineage: Eukaryota; Metazoa; Chordata; Actinopteri; Semionotiformes; Lepisosteidae
Source: RNAcentral